UCCGUAGGUGAACCUGCGGAAGGAUCAUUAACACAAACUGUGGUUGCGGAUGUGCACGUCGCCUCUUAACCGAGGGUCAACGAUUGCUGCUGCUGCUCCACACUUGGAUCCAAUCCAUUUACCCCUGUGAACUGUUAAAGUCUUUACAUUGUGUUACCAAACGCCUUGUAAUGCACUCUGACUGAAAUCUAUUCUUGACGCUGUAAGUCGCAAGACUUUAACGCCGAUGGAAAAACAUAACCAAAGACAACUUUUAACAACGGAUAUCUUGGUUCUCGCAACGAUGAAGAGCGCAGCGAAAUGCGAUACGUAAUGUGAAUUGCAGGAUUCAGUGAAUCAUCGAAUCUUUGAACGCACAUUGCGCCCUUUGGUAUUCCUUAGGGCAUGCCUGUUCGAGCGUCAUCUUAACCCUCAAGCACUGCUUGGUGUUGGGUGCCUGUCCCGCCCCGCGCGUGGACUCACCUCAAAUCCAUUGGCGGCCCUCACGUCGGCUUCGAGCGCAGCAGAAACGCGAACUCUUGGCCCGGCGGAGCGGCUCCCAGAAGCUACUCUCACCAUUUGGACCUCCGGGGGGAUCAGGGUAGGGGGAU
RNAcentral lists this ribosomal RNA (590 nucleotides) under uncultured fungus. RNAcentral's name for it is "eukaryotic LSU rRNA". The stretch from base 249 to 402 matches the Rfam family "5.8S ribosomal RNA". Lineage: Eukaryota; Fungi. The record is from RNAcentral.